This 617-nucleotide long non-coding RNA is filed under the name Erythranthe guttata (spotted monkey flower). Its description in RNAcentral is "long non-coding RNA (EGUT_LNC001214)". Lineage: Eukaryota; Viridiplantae; Streptophyta; Magnoliopsida; Lamiales; Phrymaceae. The record is from RNAcentral.
UGUGGGAAUUAAACAGUAACCGUGCAAGAAACCAAGAAAAAUAUGAAUUCUUAAAGAGCAAGUGGAAGGAUAAGAGAGAGAGAGAGAGAGAGAGAGAGAGAGGAUAUGGUUGAAUAAACAGUAUAAAGAUUGAAUCUUUUUAAUGAUUGAUGAUCGAUUAGAGCUUAACAGAGCAAAAGCGGCUCUUGGAGUGUGAAUGGGUCAACAAAAAAUCUUCAAGAUUUUCUGAUUGCUAAAAAAAAAUUAAAAUGGCCCUAGAAUGCAAAAGGGCGUUAAAAACCAGCAAGCAGAAAAAAGUUUUUCUUUUUUUUCAAGAAUCACCCCUUCUCCCACUGCUUCAGCUUUCAGACCGUUAAAUAAAUGAAAAAAAAUUGAUGUCGGGGUUAAUUUAGUGGAAGGUUCCAGGAAAUUGUGGUGAUGGGAGUAGUUGUUGGAAUUACAUAUGAGGACAACUGAUAUGGAAACAGAGAGCAGAUGCAAAUUCCAUUUCCCAAGAAAAAAAAGCAGUAAAUGCACAGUGGUCGUACGUAAGUUUUAUGACAACAACAACCGCACUUAUCUCCAUUUUUUUUUUAUUAUUUAUUGAUUGAUAAGUAUCUGCAUUUAUUUGAUUGAAG